RNAcentral lists this ribosomal RNA (253 nucleotides) under uncultured bacterium. RNAcentral's name for it is "partial 16S ribosomal RNA". It matches the Rfam family "Bacterial small subunit ribosomal RNA", at positions 524 to 776 of the family's 1533-position model. The record is from RNAcentral.
UACGAGGGGUGCAAGCGUUGCUCGGAAUUAUUGGGCGUAAAGGGUAGGUAGGUGGUCUCAUUUGUCCGGGGUGAAAGCCUUGAGCUUAACUCAAGAAGUGCCUCGGAAACGGUGAGACUGGAGUCCUGGAGAGGGUCGUGGAGUUCCCGGUGUAGCGGUGAAAUGCGUAGAGAUCGGGAGGAACACCAGAGGCGAAGGCGGCGACCUGGACAGGCACUGACACUCAACUACGAAAGCGUGGGGAGCAAACAGG